AUCUCCAACUCGUCUUCAGUGUCC
Molecule: non-coding RNA, 24 nt
Filed under: Arabidopsis thaliana (thale cress)
Lineage: Eukaryota; Viridiplantae; Streptophyta; Magnoliopsida; Brassicales; Brassicaceae
Source: RNAcentral